Molecule: long non-coding RNA, 1149 nt
Organism: Pristis pectinata (smalltooth sawfish)
Lineage: Eukaryota; Metazoa; Chordata; Chondrichthyes; Rhinopristiformes; Pristidae
Exons: 3
Source: RefSeq, a predicted model, not a curated record
CUCCUGCACUGUGCCAGUGUGAUCUGAUACGAGCUUGAAGAACAGCAUCUCAACUUCCAGCUCCCCAUGUAGCAGCCUUCAGGACUUCAUAUGAAAUUCAACAACUUCAGCUAAUAAUUCACAUGAAGAGUCUCAGCCCAAAACGUCAAGGAGCCAUUUCCCUCCAUAGAUGCUGCCUGACCCACUGAGUUCCUCCAGCAUCGUGCGCAUUGCUCCAGAUUCCAGUAUCUGCAGUCUUUUGUGUCUCCAGUGUUUGAAUUUUAAAAGAAGGUCACCUCUGGCUGAAAUCACACCAGAUAUGAAAAUGGACCAAGUACUUUUUAAAUCACCAUACCCCUUACAUGGCUGACGUUUUCCUGGUGUGGUCCUUGUGGAUCACAAGAAGAAUUUCAGAGAUAAAACAAGAAUCAUAAAUUUCCAAAUGGAGUCCCAAGGAUAAAAUGCAAUUGCCUGCAACACAGUCACUGCUGCCAGAGAGCAAAAGGAGCAAGAAAACCUGGAACCCAAGGGCCAUGAAAGAGAAAUUGGAGACCGAGAGCAUAAGCACCAGGAGGAAGAUGGCAGCUACCAGUGAACUUCCCUGCACAGCAUCCACAGCCUCAACUUCCAGCUGAACCAAGGCAAGCAGGCCAAACUAUAGAGGGUUUCCCAAUAGAUGCUUGAUUUUUCCACAAGGAGUCUGCAAAAUGAGAUUCCACAAUGCAAAUCAAAUCACUGUCUCCACACUGCAAUGCUUAACAUCAAUAAUCAACCAGGGAAGACCAGAUGCCCAGCACAAUCCUCUCAUAGCCAACUGUGCCUGUCUGCUGCACUGGACACAAGACACUAAUGAAGAGCAACCCUAUAACAUCAAUGGCUUGUUACAACAAUCUACAUUUCCUGACAGGUGGCAUCUUCUUUAAACAACCAUCUCACCUCUGCAAAAUGUAGUUUUCCUCUGAUAAACAGUUCUAAAUAUUAGUCAACAUUACUGGUAGCUAGACAACAUUGUCAACACAUCUGAGAAUUAUGACUGAACAUACUGAUCAGACUAGCAUUCAGUGGGUAAGGAGAUACAAAUAUGGACAAACAUUUCAAUGCAGUUCACAAUUAUCCAAUGAUUAAAUCUCUCACGUCACUAAUUAAGGUUCUUUUUAAGCCAUUCUAUCC